This 62-nucleotide transfer RNA is filed under the name Parasacculina shiinoi. RNAcentral describes it as "tRNA-Pro". Lineage: Eukaryota; Metazoa; Arthropoda; Thecostraca; Polyascidae. The record is from RNAcentral.
CAAAGGUUAGUUAAUUUAUAAUAUUAAUUUUGGAUAUUAAAGAUGGGUUUUCUCACUUUUGA